AAAGUCGUAACAAGGUUUCCGUAGGUGAACCUGCGGAAGGAUCAUUAGUCAAAAGGGGCUCCCCUCAAAUCUUUCUUUUUUUAUUUUAUUUUAUUAAAAAAAGAGAGAGAAGGGAGCCUGACCAAAAAAAAUAAAUAAACCCCCUUUCUGUGUGCAUCUUAUUGACCCUUUCAAAAUCUAUUCUUCAAACAUUUCAAACAAUAAAAACAUUAAAAAAUAAAAAUAAAAAACAACUUUCAACAACGGAUCUCUUGGCUCUC
This 260-nucleotide unclassified non-coding RNA is filed under the name Glomeromycotina sp. RNAcentral's name for it is "partial contains small subunit ribosomal RNA, internal transcribed spacer 1, and 5.8S ribosomal RNA". The stretch from base 1 to 47 matches the Rfam family "Eukaryotic small subunit ribosomal RNA", at positions 1785 to 1831 of the family's 1831-position model. The record is from RNAcentral. Lineage: Eukaryota; Fungi; Glomeromycota.